Molecule: ribosomal RNA, 253 nt
Filed under: uncultured bacterium
Lineage: Bacteria
Description: partial 16S ribosomal RNA
Rfam family: Bacterial small subunit ribosomal RNA
Source: RNAcentral
UACGAAGGGGGCUAGCGUUGCUCGGAAUCACUGGGCGUAAAGGGUGCGUAGGCGGGUCUUUAAGUCCGAGGGGAAAUCCUGGAGCUCAACUCCAGAACUGCCUUUGAUACUGAGGAUCUUGAGUUCGGGAGAGGUGAGUGGAACUGCGAGUGUAGAGGUGAAAUUCGUAGAUAUUCGCAAGAACACCAGUGGCGAAGGCGGCUCACUGGCCCGAUACUGACGCUGAGGCACGAAAGCGUGGGGAGCAAACGGG